GAUGAACGCUGGCGGCGUGCCUAAUACAUGCCAGUCGAGCGAACAGACGAGGAGCUUGCUCCUCUGACGUUAGCGGCGGACGGGUGAGUAACACGUGGAUAACCUACCUAUAAGACUGGGAUAACUUCGGGAAACCGGAGCUAAUACCGGAUAAUAUAUUGAACCGCAUGGUUCAAUAGUGAAAGACGGUUUUGCUGUCACUUAUAGAUGGAUCCGCGCCGCAUUAGCUAGUUGGUAAGGUAACGGCUUACCAAGGCAACGAUGCGUAGCCGACCUGAGAGGGUGAUCGGCCACACAGGAACUGAGACACGGUCCAGACUCCUACGGGAGGCAGCAGUAGGGAAUCUUCCGCAAUGGGCGAAAGCCUGACGGAGCAACGCCGCGUGAGUGAUGAAGGUCUUCGGAUCGUAAAACUCUGUUAUUAGGGAAGAACAAAUGUGUAAGUAACUAUGCACGUCUUGACGGUACCUAAUCAGAAAGCCACGGCUAACUACGUG
RNAcentral lists this ribosomal RNA (497 nucleotides) under uncultured bacterium. RNAcentral describes it as "partial 16S ribosomal RNA". It matches the Rfam family "Bacterial small subunit ribosomal RNA", at positions 28 to 507 of the family's 1533-position model. The record is from RNAcentral.